GAAGGUAUAGCUUAGUGGCACAGUGCAUGCUUAGCAUGCACGAGAUCCUGGGUUCAAUCCCCAGUAUCUCUA
This 72-nucleotide transfer RNA is filed under the name Camelus bactrianus (Bactrian camel). It matches the Rfam family "tRNA". Rfam says of the family: Transfer RNA (tRNA) molecules are approximately 80 nucleotides in length. Their secondary structure includes four short double-helical elements and three loops (D, anti-codon, and T loops). The record is from Rfam by way of RNAcentral. Lineage: Eukaryota; Metazoa; Chordata; Mammalia; Artiodactyla; Camelidae. RNAcentral also lists the same sequence under 2 other names.